This 410-nucleotide ribosomal RNA is filed under the name uncultured bacterium. RNAcentral's name for it is "bacterial SSU rRNA". It matches the Rfam family "Bacterial small subunit ribosomal RNA", at positions 30 to 440 of the family's 1533-position model. The record is from RNAcentral.
AUUGAACGCUGGCGGCAUGCCUUACACAUGCAAGUCGAACGGCAGCACGGGAGCAAUCCUGGUGGCGAGUGGCGAACGGGUGAGUAGUAUAUCGGAACGUGCCCAGUAGUGGGGGAUAGCCCGGCGAAAGCCGGAUUAAUACCGCAUACGACCUGAGGGUGAAAGCGGGGGAUCGCAAGACCUCGCGCUAUUGGAGCGGCCGAUAUCAGAUUAGCUAGUUGGUGGGGUAAAGGCCUACCAAGGCUACGAUCUGUAGUUGGUCUGAGAGGACGACCAGCCACACUGGGACUGAGACACGGCCCAGACUCCUACGGGAGGCAGCAGUGGGGAAUUUUGGACAAUGGGCGCAAGCCUGAUCCAGCAAUGCCGCGUGCAGGAAGAAGGCCUCGGGUUGUAACGUAGCUUUGUUC